This 575-nucleotide unclassified non-coding RNA is filed under the name Hevea brasiliensis (rubber tree). The record is from RNAcentral. Lineage: Eukaryota; Viridiplantae; Streptophyta; Magnoliopsida; Malpighiales; Euphorbiaceae.
GGUGAUCAUUUGAGCAAGGUGGUGGCAGUAGCAGGGGUUGUGGUGUUAAUGUUAAAAUUAUGAUAUUGUACGUCGUUGGCGGAUAUUGGUUGCCUUGAAAUCAAUGUGUUGUGAAACAAUAAGGUGACUGCUUUUGUAAUUGGAAUGGUGGUUACAAUUUUGUUAUCCUGCUGCUGGUAGUGGCAUUGCUGAUAGGUCAGUGGAGUCGGAGGUGGUGAUUGUGAUGAUCAGCAGCUUUGGCUGUUAUUUUAGUUGCUUGUUUUUGGUUGCUUUGUAUAGUAAUUUGGGUGAUUAAUCCAUGCAGUUCCUGUCGUAUUUUCAUAAUCACCUGCUAUUAUAAACUUUAUAUUUUGACUCCUUGUCUUUGUUGCUAGAAACAUGCAUGUGCCAGUAGCAAUUUUUUUGUCCCCGCCCCCCUAAUUACUUUGUUUCACUGUUGUAGAGUUUCAGAUGCUUUUCUUUCUUUCCUCCUUUCUUUUUUGUUCUCUUUAGUAGCUAAUUCAAUAAUCACUUAUUGCUUGUUCAGUUCAUCAGUUAAUCAGAUGACAGAUUUAAUAUAUUUGUCAGUGCAUGGU